GAUGAACGCUGGCGGCGUGCCUAAUACAUGCAAGUCGAGCGAACAGACGAGGAGCUUGCUCCUCUGACGUUAGCGGCGGACGGGUGAGUAACACGUGGAUAACCUACCUAUAAGACUGGGAUAACUUCGGGAAACCGGAGCUAAUACCGGAUAAUAUAUUGAACCGCAUGGUUCAAUAGUGAAAGACGGUUUUGCGGUAACUUAUAGAUGGAUCCGCGCCGCAUUAGCUAGUUGGUAAGGUAACGGCUUACCAAGGCAAUGAUGCGUAGCCGACCUGAGAGGGUGAUCGGCCACACUGGAACUGAGACACGGUCCAGACUCCUACGGGAGGCAGCAGUAGGGAAUCUUCCGCAAUGGGCGAAAGCCUGACGGAGCAACGCCGCGUGAGUGAUGAAGGUCUUCGGAUCGUAAAACUCUGUUAUUAGGGAAGAACAAAUGUGUAAGUAACUAUGCACGUCUUGACGGUACCUAAUCAGAAAGCCACGGCUAACUACGUG
This 497-nucleotide ribosomal RNA is filed under the name uncultured bacterium. RNAcentral's name for it is "partial 16S ribosomal RNA". It matches the Rfam family "Bacterial small subunit ribosomal RNA", at positions 28 to 507 of the family's 1533-position model. The record is from RNAcentral.